Molecule: transfer RNA, 73 nt
Filed under: Apaloderma vittatum (bar-tailed trogon)
Lineage: Eukaryota; Metazoa; Chordata; Aves; Trogoniformes; Trogonidae
Rfam family: tRNA
About the family: Transfer RNA (tRNA) molecules are approximately 80 nucleotides in length. Their secondary structure includes four short double-helical elements and three loops (D, anti-codon, and T loops).
Source: Rfam by way of RNAcentral
GGCCAGUUAGCUCAGUCAGUUAGAGUGCGGUGCUGAUAACGCCAAAGUUGUGGGUUCAAGCCCCAUUUGGUUC